This 276-nucleotide ribosomal RNA is filed under the name uncultured bacterium. Its description in RNAcentral is "partial 16S ribosomal RNA". It matches the Rfam family "Bacterial small subunit ribosomal RNA", at positions 29 to 334 of the family's 1533-position model. The record is from RNAcentral.
AACGAACGCUGGCGGCAGGCUUAACACAUGCAAGUCGAACGCCCCGCAAGGGGAGUGGCAGACGGGUGAGUAACGCGUGGGAAUCUACCCUGAUCUGCGGGAUAGCUCCGGGAAACUGGAAUUAAUACCGCAUGUGCCCUGAGGGGCAAAGGUUUACCGGAUUGGGAUGAGCCCGCGUCCGAUUAGCUAGUUGGUGGGGUAAAGGCCUACCAAGGCGACGAUCGGUAGCUGGUCUAAGAGGAUGAUCAGCCACAUUGGGACUGAGACACGGCCCAA